Molecule: transfer RNA, 87 nt
Filed under: Roseitalea porphyridii
Lineage: Bacteria; Pseudomonadati; Pseudomonadota; Alphaproteobacteria; Hyphomicrobiales; Ahrensiaceae
Rfam family: tRNA
About the family: Transfer RNA (tRNA) molecules are approximately 80 nucleotides in length. Their secondary structure includes four short double-helical elements and three loops (D, anti-codon, and T loops). Further hydrogen bonds mediate the characteristic L-shaped molecular structure. tRNAs have two regions of fundamental functional importance: the anti-codon, which is responsible for specific mRNA codon recognition, and the 3' end, to which the tRNAs corresponding amino acid is attached (by aminoacyl-tRNA synthetases). tRNAs cope with the degeneracy of the genetic code in two manners: having more than one tRNA (with a specific anti-codon) for a particular amino acid; and 'wobble' base-pairing, i.e. permitting non-standard base-pairing at the 3rd anti-codon position.
Source: Rfam by way of RNAcentral
GGAGGGGUGGCAGAGCGGUCGAAUGCGGCGGUCUUGAAAACCGUUGAGGCUUUGCGGCCUCCGGGGGUUCGAAUCCCUCCCCCUCCG